Molecule: ribosomal RNA, 292 nt
Filed under: uncultured Bacteroidota bacterium
Lineage: Bacteria; Pseudomonadati; Bacteroidota
Description: uncultured Bacteroidetes bacterium partial 16S ribosomal RNA
Source: RNAcentral
GGACUACACGGGUAUCUAAUCCUGUUUGAUCCCCACGCUUUCGUGCCUCAGCGUCAAUAUUUGUGUAGCCAGCUGCCUUCGCAAUUGGUGUUCUAUGUCAUAUCUAUGCAUUUCACCGCUACAUGACAUAUUCCGCUAACCUCCACAACAUUCAAGAUAUAUAGUAUCCAUGGCAGUUUCAGGGUUAAGCCCUGAGAUUUCACCACGGACUUACAUAUCCGCCUACGCACCCUUUAAACCCAGUGAAUCCGGAUAACGCUUGCACCCUCCGUAUUACCGCGGCUGCUGGCAC